Long non-coding RNA from Homo sapiens (human), 27703 nucleotides. RefSeq lists it as uncharacterized. NCBI's taxonomy places the organism in Eukaryota, Metazoa, Chordata, Mammalia, Primates, Hominidae. The record is from RefSeq and is a predicted model, not a curated record. The transcript is spliced from 2 exons.
CUUAAGAAAUCCAUAUACUUUAAAAAAUAGUUUUUAUUCUCCUUUGGUCCAGAAGGGUUAGGAACAAUAACUCAGUAGUUACUUCCUGUAUUAGUUUCUUAUUUGCUGCUGUAACACUUUUUCACAAAGUGAGUGCCUUAACACACAUGUACUUAUUAUCUUACAGUUCUGACUGGUGAUGCUGGGCUAAAACCAAGUUGUCACAGGGCUGUGUUCCCUUCCUAAGGCUUUAUGGGAGAAUCUGUUUCCUUGACUUUUCCAACCUAAGGACAUUCCUUUCCUCCAUCUUCAAAGCCUGCUAGCAACGUUGUAUCCUUCUGUGCCAUUCAUCUACAGUCUUAUCUUUUACAGAUGCUUAUGAUUAUAUUGGGCCCACCCAGAUAAUCCUAUUUAAAGGUCACCAUAAUUAGUGACCUUAAUUCCCCUUUGUCAUGUAACAUAGUCACAGGUUCUGGGAAGCAGGAUGGGGAUAUCUUUGGGGUGAUUAUUCUGCCUAUUAUGCUUACUAAUGAUAAUUUCUACAAUCUGUGAUUGACAAGUGUUUCCCUUUGAUAGUUAGGGUCUCUAGACUUGGGACAUGUGAUAAAUGGACAUGAAAUGCAUGCCAUCCCCCAGAAUAUAUGGGAAAGUGAAAUCUACCAAUCUGCUCAGGAGACCCCUCUGUUUACCAGCGAGUCUGUUUUUACAGAACAAUCUUAGGUUUAUAGUGAGGGGGGGUUCCCCAGUCAGAUGGUUCAGACUUCCACUGACUGACUUCAGGAAAGCUGCCUGUACUCUCUGUGUUUGCGUAGUUGCAGAGUCAGGGUGAUGGAGAUUAAUGAGAGAAUCAGUAGAAACCUUUAGCAAAUCUCUUCCGUGGUAGCUGUUAUUAUUAUAGAUGUUGCCAUUAUUGGCCAGAAGCUAUUUAGGAUCUUGUAAUGGCCUCUCAGCCAUGAGAUGAAAACUGAAUUAUCUAUAAUACGAGUUUAAUGUCAAGUCAAUUUCAUUAUAUCUUUGGUCUUUGAAAAGCGGCAGUUGCUAUAUAAUUUGUAUAAUAAUUUUUUAAAUGAAUCUAUUUCUGUGAAACAAACCACUACUGUAUUUAGUUUUAAAAAACCUAUUCCAUGCAGCAAACCACCACGUACGUGUUUAUAUAUAACAAACCUGUACAUCCUGCACAUGUACUCCGGAACUUAAAAAAAAAUCUAUCCAUUUCCUGAUCAAGGUAGAUAGGCAUUUGCGAAGAUGAAACAAUCAAAUGUUCAGAUGAUCAAAUGGAGCCAUUAGCAACUACUGCCUAGCACAUGUAAGGAAUUACAUUUGGUUCUGCCUGGUUUCCUAAGGGACUUGACAGAUGCUGUCUUCUUAUGUUCAUUUGUAACCUGCCAAUUCAUGCAAAAUAUGCUUGCCUGCGAAGUUAGGGCUUCCAAUUGUAAGUAAUACGCUCUGUAUUUUUGUCAGUGGAUUGGAUCUUGUGGUAAGAACUGUGCAAGAUGAUCUUGGUUAUCUGCUAGGCUGAUUUCAGAGGUGCAGUCUGACUUACUGACCACUAAUCCUUGACACCACUCCCUGUGCCAUUCUGGGGGCACUGUCUGUCCUCUGCCCUGUGCCCCUUUGCCUGUCUCAUUCCUCCUGCUUGAGAUACCUUCUCUUUCCUGCUUCUGUUUCUCUGUAGCUUACACCUUAUUUGAGACACAAAGCAUUCUGGUUCCCUGUAUAUAACAUUUCCAUUGUAAAAAAUAAUUUAAUAUGCGAAAAUAGUUUUCCAAAAAAUCACUUGUGGAAAAACCUUGAAAACAUUAUGCUAAGUUAAAUAUGCCAGAUGCAAAAGGACCAACACUGUAUGAUUCUGCUUGUAUGGAAGAUCUAGAAUGGGCAAAUUCAGAGAGACAGGAUGGAGACUAGAGGUUGCCAAAGGGCUGGAGGGAGGGACAGAAUGGGGAAUUUAUUGCCUUAUAGUUAAAGAAUUUCUCUUCCAGGUGAUGAAAAAGAUAGAUAGUAGUGAUAAUUGUAUAAUGUUGUAAAUGUUACUAAUGCCACUGAAUUACAUACUUAAGAAUGGUUAAGAUGGCAAAUUUCGUUUUAUAUAUGUUAAUGUAAUUUUUAAAAAGGGAAAACAAAGUUGUCCAUAAUCCCACCCCUCGGAGAUUUCACUGUUAAUACUUUCGCAUCUUUUUCUUACCUUUAUUAAAAAAAACAGAAAACAAAAACAUUUCCUGACAGUCUUUCUUAUCAUUGAAAUUAGGAUCCUAGAGUAUAAUAUAGUCUAUAUCUUCUAUAAAAUCAGUCUAUAUCUUCUUUAAUUCAGUCUUCUUUCUUAAGCAUGUUUCCAUACGAUUGGAACCUUUGCAUCAGCCUGGUCAGCUACUUAAGAUUUCAUUCUAACCAGACUCAUUCAUUUAAAACAGUGCCACUAUAAUCUUUCUCAGCCUAUUCUUGUUAUGCUGACUUCCCCAUUUCAUUUAUUCAGCAAACAUUUACUGAGCAUUUGCUAUGUGCCAGUUAUACUUUGGGCCCUCGGAGGGAGGUAGAAGCCAGUAAUGGGGUUCAAAAUCUGGAGUCACAUCGUCUAACCUAUGCAAACCAGUUCUCUGUGAUAUAUUUUGAGAGACAUUGGGUGAUCUAUAGAUUCUAUACUAUUCAUCUGGUCCUAAAAUUCUCUGAUAUGGGGCAUUUAGUUCUGAAACCUGAAAACUAGCUAGAAGAAACCUGGCCAUGAACAAACUGUUAGAAGCACAUUUUAAAAGUUAGCUUUCACUGUUUUUCUCUAUUAGGGAGAUACCCAUGAAGCUUUUGGCCUUUCCUAAAAACUGAUUUGAAAUGUAAUGAACAAUUUGAAAUUUUCAUUCCCAAGAACAAAACAAAACACCCAAAUACAUCCCCUUAUUAGGAGUCUAAUGAAGGAAUGUUAAGUCUCACUUUUUUUUUUUAUUUUAAAGUUUUAGAAUAACAAAGCCCACACAUAAUCAUGGUGUCUUGGUGAGUAUAUAUUAUCUUUAUGUGUAAAUUAAUUUUCCCCAGACUUUAUUUUAUUAUAUUAAAAUGUGUUCCACUCAAGACUUGAGAACCAACACAAAAAAUGAAUAUGUGUUAAAUAUACCCUAGAGACAGAAAAAAUAAAUAAUUACUUUAACAAAACCCUUAGUGACACGAAUAGACUUUUCUUUUAGACUUUUUUUUUUUUUGAGAUGGAGUCUUGCUCUGUCACCCAGGCUGGAGUGCAGUGGCACAAUCUCAGCUCACUGCAGCCUCUGCCUCCCAGGUUCAAGCAAUUCUCCUGCCUCAGCCUCCCGAGUAAGCUGGGAUUACAGGCCUAUGCCACCACGCCCGGCUAAUUUUUUGUAUUUUUAUUAGAGAUGAGAUUUCACCAUGUUGGCCAGGCUGGUCUCGAACUACUGACCUCAGGUGAUCUGCCCACCUUGGCCUCCCAGAGUUCUGGGAUUACAGACAUGAGCCACCACGCCCGGCCUAGAUAUUUUAAAUACUGGCAGAGAUGAGGACUGCUUCAGAGAUAUUUUUCUUGGGUGAUUUAGAAGGAAGAUGGUGGAAUAUAAAGAACUUGGUGGACAAACACUUAGGAAUCUUCUAGACUAUAUCCUGAUUUUAUAGUAUCAGGCACAUAGUAAAAGCUUGGUAUAAAGUUGAGCAAAUGAAUGGAUUUUGAAAGGACUGAACUUUUAACAUUAGAAUAUGAAUAUUAUCACCAUGGGAAAAAAGAUACAUUAUUUAUUUUAACAAGUGAUCUCAAGAGUGAUAAUGAGAUGAUGUGGUAUGAAUCAUCUUUGUAUGCCUAGACGUAUCUAGCAUCCAGGAAAAUAUGCAGAUGUCUUUGUAGAGAGAAGUCAUGUAGGGUCUCUUUCUUUUUUUUUAAGCAAUUGAUAGAAUGAAGUUUAUUUAACCCUGUCUCCCAUUUACUCCUUUCUUCAAAAGCUAAUUUUCAUAUCUGUUUUCAGACUUUUAUGUGGACAGAUGUUUCAGGGUUUGUUUGCAAACAUUUCCCAGACAUAUUGUUGAUCAGCAGGUUUCUGCAAUUAACAGCAUCUUCUUAAGCCUGUUUCCUACAUUCUGAUUGACUGUAUGACAAAUGCUGUAGGUUUUCACAGAUGCAGGGAAAGAGAAGGUUACCAGCUCAGCAGAAUCCUGUGGAAAUCAGAUAUGAGUCUUAGGACAGUUCAUUGGAAAUGGAAUUCAGUAAAAGGUUGAGAGCGCAUGAAGUAGUGUGGUUGUAGGUGGCGUCUUGAAUAAAGUCAGCUGUUGUGCAUGCACCCCAGCAGACACUGGGGAAUGCACAGACACAUUCACUCACACACAAUAUCUCCUUUAAUCGUCUGAAGAAUUCUGGGAAAAGCGACUGGGGUCUUUAUUUCAGCGAUGAGGACAGAGAGGCUCAGAGACCACAGAGCUUGCCCCAAAGCCCAUAUGAACAUUCAUGGUGGAGCCCCAAGUCACAUUCUGAUGUGUCUGGCUCUGAAGCCCUUACUUGCUCUACAUAAAAAAGUAUUCAUUAAAAUGAGAAGCAGGCUCUGGGUAUAUUGGAUUUUCAUAAUGGGGAAAAAGAUGCAUUCAUUGUCUCAAAACAUGGGCGCAGGAGUUCUAAGAAUUUUUUUCUUAAAAUUAAUGAAAUAAUGAUGUAAAAUAUUUGGCAGGGAACCUGAUUCAUUGAAAGUGCUCCAAAGUAAGGCCUGCUGUUGCUGUUGUUUUUGUUAUUGAUAUGCAACAACAGGAAACUUUGAAGAACAGCCUUUGUUCUUCUUGGACUUGAUACAGUGUUAAAUAUUGUAGAAUUCUAAGCAUUUUGAUAUAAAUAUAUUUAAAUAUCAUAUCCCCAUGCGAGUGAACAAGGGCAAUGAAAGCCACGUAGUAUUCAUUUUGUAGACUGCAUUCCAGUGGAUUCCAAACAUCCUACUCUGUCAAGGUGGCACCUCCUCUAUGCUGUCCUCAUUAGGCUGUACCUAGUUCCGGGCAUGACACUUAUUAGUUAUUUGUUGAAUGAAUGGGUGAUUAAAAUUGGUCGUGGGGAUUAACUGUCUGCAGCCUGGAUUGGGUCUCCAUGUUCGUGGAUUUUCUAGAGUGUGGAUCUCCUUGUUGAAAGCUUUCUGCUGAUGUAUAAUAAAUUUUAUUCACAAAUGAAACACAUCCUUUGAUGUCUAUGACAUGUUGUGAUCCUAGGGUAUAUUCCUCAGCAUUAAAGCCAUUAACUUAUCCCAGUACAGAAGCAUGGUUUAAAAUGAGUCUUCUCAACGUGGCUUCUUUAAAAACUCUGCAAAUUGUAGCUCAAGGAAGAUAGAAUUACUCCCUGUUAGGUUUUUAAGUUCUUUUGUAAAUUUUAAAGAUUGACACAACUGCAGGAGCCAACAACAAGAACUUUUUAUUUCAUCAAAUGUGCUCAUCAAAUGUUGUAGCUUAAUAAAUAAAGCAAUAGGCCAGGCGUGGCGGCUCAGGCCUGUAAUCCCAGCACUUUGGGAGGCCGAGGCGGGCGGAUCAGGAGGUCAGGAGACUGAGUCCAUCCUGGCUAACACGGUGAAACCCUGUCUCUACUAAAAAUACAAAAAAUUAGCCAAGCGUGGUGGCGGGCAUCUGUAGUCCCAGCUACUUGGGACGCUGAGGUGGGAGAAUGGCGUGAACCUGGGAGGCGGAGGUUGCAGUGAGCCGAGAUCGCGCCACUGCACUCCAGCCUGGGGGACAGAGUGAGACUCCAUUUAAAAAAAAAAAAAAAUCAAUAAUAGCAACCUCUUUUAUUUUGAUGGAACUGCAGUUUCCACAGUUGAUCAAGUUCUCUCUGGUCAUAACCAUAGUCUUUGAUGUUGUUUACAUGAUUAUAGAAGGAGCUUCAAAAUGUGCAUUUCAGAAGCAGCCCAAAAGGCAUUAAACUCUUCUCACUAUUCACCCAAAGCUGUCAUUGAAUCAUAUUUCCCCCAUUACAAAAACAGUAAAUCUGAAAUACUUAGGAAAGAUAGAAAAGCAUAAAGAAGGAAAAAUAGUGAUCUCAAAGUUAAUGGCUGAACAUUUUUGUUUAUAUUUUCUAGUGUUUGUGGAUGUGUGCAUACAAAAAUGGGGUCACAUAUUUACAAGUGGAUUUUUAUUUACUUAGCACUAUGUGCCUUAAAUUUUUAAAUCUUAAUAUGUAUUUUUUCACGACCUGACCUUAGUGGCUGAAAGCAGUGGUUUUAUAGAGAUAGAGGUUUCCUGAAGUUUUCAGAAUGUCUAUUGAUAACAGUUGAGAGUAGAUUAUUUCUUAACCGAUGCAAAAUAAUGAACAGUAAUUAAGUUUUCCAUCGUUUCUCCCCACUAUCACUGGGAUUUUCCUGAGACCUUAACAGUAAAUGUGAAAAUAAUGUGUGGCCCUACAGCCAGACACCCUUAUCACUGCCCUGUUCACCUUCCCUGGAAGAGGCAAGUAGGCAUGGCUGUUAGAAACAAAGGGUUCAGAUUUGGGCUUUCCAGGUUCAGAUCCCAAUAUCUCAGUUUACUGGGUGUAUGACCUUUGCAAGCUCAUUAACAAUUCCAAGCACUGGUUUUUGCAGUGGUACAAUGGGGAUAGUAAUUAUACUAACCUCCUAGGAUUUGUGGGAGCAUUAAAUUAAGAUAAUGUAGUAAUGUCCCUCACACGAUGACCAGUGCCCAGAAAAUAUUAUUAGCAUCAUUAUCAGUCCAGUAAAUUGUUUUAAAAACCAAAAAGACACUAGUGGAAAUUGAUUUGUGGUGUUUCCUGGCAGAAAAAUGAAUAUGGGUUGUUAUGUUUCUGUGUGUUUGAGGGUGUGUGGGAGUACGCAUGCAUACUGAAUGCACAUUCCUAUCAGAGGCUUCAGAUAAACUAGUGCUUGAAAGCCAUUCCAGGCACAUCCUUUUGAUUGUGUCCCUCUAUUGCACUUUGCAGAUACUGCAUUUUUUUUUUUACAACUUGAAGGUUUGUGGCAACUUUGCAUUGCCCAAGUCUAUUGGUGCCAUUUUUCCAACAGCAUGUGGUCACCUUGUGUCUUUGAGUCACGUUUUGGUAAUUCUCACAAUAUUUAAACUUUUUCCUUGUUCUGUCUGUCUUGGUGAUCUGUGAUCAUUUAUCUCUGAUGUUACUGUUGUAAUUUCAGGGUGCCACAAACUAUACCCAUAUAAGAUGGCAAACUUAAUAAGUGUUGUGUGUGUUCUGACUGCUCCACGGAUCCCCCUUUCCCAUGUCUCUCUCCCUCUCCUGGGGCCUCCCUAUUCCGUGAGCCACAACAGUAUUGAAAUUAAGUCAAUUAAUACCCUGCAAUGGACUCUUUAAGUGUUUGAGAGAAAGGAAGAGUCACACAUCUCUCACUUUAAAUCAAAAGCUAGAGAUGAUUAAGCUGAAUGAGGAAGGCAUGUGGAAAGCUGAGAGCGGCUGAAAGCUAGGCCUCUUGAACCAAACAGUUAACUAAGUUGUGAAUGCAAAGGGAAGAGUUCUGGCGGCAAAUUAAAAGGGCUAUUCCAGUAAGCACACGAAUGGCAAGAAAGUGCAACAUCCUUAUUGCUAAUGUGGAGAAAGUUGGUCUGGAUAGAAGAUUAAACCAGGUACAACAUUUCCUUAAGCCAAAGCCUGAUCCAGAGCAAGGCCCUAACUCCCCAGUUCUGUGAAUGAAGGCUGAGAGGUGAGGAAGCUGCAGAAGAAAAGUUUGAAGCUGGCCUAUAAGUUGGUUCAUGAAGUUUAAGGAAAGAAGCUGUUUUUAUAACAUAAAAGUGCAAGAUGCAGCAGCAAGUACUAUUGUAGAAGCUACAGCAAGGUAUGCAGGAGAUCAAGCUAAGAUAAUUGAUGAAUGUGGCUAUACUAAACAACAGAUUUUCAGUGCGGAUGAAACAGCCUUCUAUUGGAAGAAUAUGUUGUCCAGGACUUUCCUAGCUAGAGAGGAGAAGUCAAUGCCUGGCUUCAAAACUUCAAAGGACAGACUCAGUCUCUUGUUAGGUGGUAACGUAGCUGGUGACUUGAAGUUGAAGCCAAUGCUCAUUGACUAUUCUGAAGAUUCUAGGGCCUUAAAGAGGGUGCUAAAUCUACUCUGCCUGUGCUCUAUAUAUGGAAUAACAAAGCCUGAAUGAUAGCACAUCUGCUUAUAGCAUGUUUUACUGAAUAUUUUAAGCCCUUGUUGAGACCUACUUCCUCAGAAGAAAAAAGAUUCCUUUCAAUGUAUUGUUACUGCUACUCAUCGACAAGGCACCUGGUCACCCAAGAGCUCUGAUGGAGAUGUACAUGGAGAUGAAUGUUGUUUUCGUGCCUGUUAACACAGCAUCCCUUCUGCAGCCCAUGGAUCAAGGAGUCACUUAAACUUUCAAGUCUUAUUAUUUAAGAAAUACAUUUUGUAAAGCUAUAGCUGCCGUAGAUAGUGAUUCUUCUAUGGAUCUGGUCAAAGUAAGUUGAAAAUCUUCUGGAAACAAUUUACCAUUCUAGAGGCCAUUAAGAACAUUUGUGGCUGGGUGUGAUGGCUCAAGCUUAUAAUCCCAGUGCUUGGGGAGGCUAAGGUUGGAGGAUCACUUGAGGCCAGGAGUUUCAGUGCAGCCUGGCAAUACAAUGAGACCACAUCUCCACAAAAAAAUUUUUUUUUUAAAUUGGCUUGGGGUGGUGGCCCAUGCCUAUAGUCCUAGCAACUCAGGAGGCUGAGGCAGGAGGAUGGCAAAAGUUUAAAUAUAACUUUUAUAUGUGCUGGAAAACCAAAAAAUUUAUGUGACCUGCUUUAUUGCAAUAUUCACUUUAUGGCGGUCAUCAGGAACCGAACCCACAGUAUCUGUGAGCUAUGCCUGUAUAAGUAUUCUCUGAGGAUAUUGAUGGGAUGAGUGCCACUGUCAGUGCAAACCUGUUGUGAUUUAAACACUUUGCUCCUGCAGUGAGAUGUGGCCUAAAGCCAUUAGCACAAAGAGGAAGGAAAACUGGAGGGCUUUGAAAGCACUAGUUGCCUACAGUGAGUUUUUAUUUUCAAGUUAGAAUAUUGUAAGGGAAUGUGGAAUCUGAUUUUAGGAGUCCUAAUGAGGCAGGUUUAAUGCGCUAAUGGCGUGUGUGUGUGUGGAGAGAGGUGUGUGUGUGUUGUUUUCGGUAAUUGGUUAAGUGAAACUUCAGGCUUCCAUCUUCACCCCUUCCAACCCAUUUGCCAUAUGUGGGUAGAGUAAUGUUGAUAAAGUAGAAUUUAGUGAUCUCACUUCCUCAUUUAAAAUCUUUCAUUGGUUGUAAUUUGACGUGAUUAGCCUGGACCUUUGUGGUUUGACCCCAGCCACCUACCCAUGUAAAAUCUUUAUUUUCUGCCUCUUGGAAGUAUUGGAAAACCGGGCACCAUAUGGCAGCCAGUGAUUGUGAGUGAGCUACCACCUGCCAUGCUCCCACAAUGCUCUCUCCUUUCCUGUAUUGGAACAAUGUUACAUUAUUGUCUUAUUUCCUGUUGUAUCCCCAGUAUUUAGCACAUUGCUGGAUUCUAACUCAGGGCAUACCUGGUGAAUAAAUUAAUUAGUUCCAAACAUUGACUUGUUCUUUACUGGAAGAAGUUGCUUUUAUUCAUUAAAUUUAAGGCUGAUUUAUUCAUCCAUCCAUCUGUCCAUCCAUCCACCCGUCCGUCCAUCUGUCCAUCCAUCCAUUCAUUUUAAAAGUCUUGAUGCGCUGGGCGCAGUGGCUUACGCCUGUAAUCCCAGCACUUUGGGAGGCUGAGGCAGGUGGAUCACGAGGUCAGGAGAUUGAGACCAUCCUGGCUAUAACACGGUGAAACCCCGUCUCUACUAAAAAUACAAAAAAUUAGCCAGGCGUGGUGGCGGUGCCUGUAGUCCCAGCUACUCAGGAGGCUGAGGCAGGAGAAUGGUGUGAACCCAGGAGGUGGAGCUUGUAGUGAGCCGAGAUCGCGCCACUGCACUCCAGCCUAGGGACAGAGCGAGACUCCGUCUCAAAAAGAAAAAAAAAAAAAAGUCUUGAUGCAAGUGUGACAGUAUUAACAAUCAGUUCUGGCUGGUGGGCACAAAGGUGUUUGUGGUAUUCUAGGAAUGAAGUUGCCUUUGAAAUUAAUAGUGAGAUGGUUAAUUUUGUGUGUCAUCUUGACUGGGUUAAGAGAUUCCCAGGUAGCUGGUAAAACAUUAUUUCUGGGUGUAUCUGUAAGAGUGUUUCUGGAAGAGGUUUGCAUUUGAAUCAAUAAACUGAGUAAAGAAGAUCUGCCAUCACCAAUGUGGAUGGGCAUCAUCCAGUCCUUUGCUGGCCUGGAUAGAACACAAAUAUGGAGGAAGGGCGAACUUGUUCUCUCUUCUUGAGCUGGGACACCCAUCUUCUCCUGCCCUUGGACAUUGGAGCUCUUGGUUUCUGGGUCUUCGGUCUCUGGAGGAUUUAUACCAGUGCUGCCCUUACCCACCCCAGGUUCUCAAGCCUUCUGGCUUGGAUUGGGAGUUUAUACCAUCAUGGAUUGAAAUAUACCACCAGUUUUCUUGGUUCUUUAGCUUGCAGACAGCAUAUUGUGGGACUCCUUGGCCAAUUCACAUGAGCCAGUCAUGUGAGCCAAUUCCUAUAAAUAAACUUCUUCUUAUAUAUCUGUAUAUAUAUGUCCUAUUGGUUCUGUUUCUCUGGAGAGCCCUGACUAAUACAAAUAGCAUUCUUUUAAAAGGAGUCUCUGUUCUUGUCACCUGGAACUCCAUUGAUCUAAAAGUCACCACUGGAAGAUCCCACAUAGAUGAAGCUGCUACUUUUGCUGGGAACUUUUCUUACAGGUUGGAAAUAGAAUGAUAGAAAUCAAAGUGCUCUUUUGGCAAGACCCAUAGAAAACCAUAAGAGAAUUGAAUGAUGGUAACAGAGAAUGAACCUUCGGCUCUCUGAAUUCACUUUCAAAAAUAUCAGUGUUACUUCUGAAAAUUCUGCGUCUGGGAGAUUUAAUUGUUGGAGUGUCUCAGGCAAGAGCAGUGUCUUUAGAGAUGAAGAUGUGGGUUCAGAUUGCUGCUCGGGCACUCACUGGGAGUAGAACUUUGAUCAGGCUAUCUAAUCUCCAUGGGCCUCUAUGAAAUCUGACUGUGGAGGUAAGAAUGGUCCUCACAGAGGCUUCAGUUAUUGACAUGGUGCCUGUAAAGUGCUUGAUAACCUGGCACAUUCUAAGCAUUUAAUGAGCGGCAGCGGACAUCAAUGUUAAUAUAUGUGUAUUGGCAAGUCAAAUUUUUUUUGUUGUAAGUGAAACUUAGCAGAGGGAGAAUCUUUAACUGUGGAGCCUCCUUGGUCAGCACAUGUUGCUUUUCUUUUUGUCUUCAGUAGGUUGUUGAUAAUAAUGAUAACUGAGGUGCUGCUGUGGGGCCUGGGGGUUGCAUUUUUAUACUAGCUCAAGGAUCAUUCACUGGGUUGGACGGAUCCCUAGCAAGAGCCGUGAAUACCAAAUUCAGUGCUGUCUGACCAUCUGUGGAGGCUUCAGAUUGCCCUGGAUCUGUUGACAAUAUUACAUGAUAGAUCAACUUAAUGGAAUCUCGCUGAUCUCACUCAUCUUAUUGGUUCUUAUGUAGGUCUCACCAUCUUGCAUAACCUUAGGAAUCACCUCCAAUAUUUAUAUUUUCUGUUGAUCUCCUGUACACACACACACACACACACACGUGCAGACACACUUUUAAAAACAGGCUUUAUCCACUUUUAAAAUGAGAACCCCCCCAAAAAUCCUUAACUUCUGUUUCCAUUUGUCUAUUAUUAGAACACUUGCAGACAGCAAUCUAUAAAGUGAAAUUUUAAAGCAGUCUACAUGGCUCUUAUUCAUUCAUUUUCAAGAAAAAAAUUAAAUGCUAGGAAUACAGCAUGAUUCCAAUAUGUAUUUGAUGAAACAUCUUCAGAGGUUAAAUGACAUUCAUAGAUAUUUAAAUUUAGCUUUGUGUUUCAGGAGUAAUUUAUUAUUAAAUAAUAAGGGUCUUUUGCCAGAUUCUCAAGUAACUCAAUUGUAUGCAUAGGUAUAUACUUUCUUUUUUAAUAGAGAGAAGCUUUUAUGUGAAUUGUAAUGAUCUAUAGGAUAAUUUUAGGAUUUGUCUUCCUUCCCCCUCCCCUCCCCUCCGCUCUCUUCCUCCCUUCUCCUCCCCUCACCUCCCAUCUCUUCACCUCCCCUCCCCCCACCAUUUCCUUCUCUGUCCUCCCCUCCUGCUGUUUAUCUAGAUGUGACACUGGAUUUAGCUUCCCUGGAAAUUUAUAAUAAAUCCAUACACACAUUCAAGAGGACUCGCUUAUUGUUAGAUUUUAACAACUCUGCUUCCUUCAGGAAUCUUCAGCAGUCAUAUAUUUGUGUUGGAAACAGUCACUAAAGAGUUUUCAAUGCUGUUGAAAUAGAGAUUUGACUAAUGAUAAUGAAGGUUAUGUAGACAAGACAGUUUCUCUCUCUCCCUCUCUCUCUCUCUCUCCCUCUCUCUCUUUCUUUCUCUCUUUCUCUCUCUCCCCCUCUCUCUUUCUCUCUUUCUUUCUCUCUCUUCCUCUUUCUCUCUUUCUUUCUCUUCUUUCUUUUUUUUUUUUUCUUGACAGGGUCUCACUCUGUUGCCCAGGCUAAAGUGCUGUGGCAUGAUCACGGCUCACUGCUGCCUCGACCUCCUGGGCUCAAGAGAUCCUCCUGCCUCAGUCUCCAAAGUAGCUAGGGCUACAGGCAAGUGCCACCAUACCUGGCCAAGUCUUUAAAUUUUUGUAGAGGCAGGGUCUCCCUGUGUUGCUCAGGGUGCUCGAACUCCUGGGAUCAAGCCUUCCUCCCACCUCCUGCCUCAGCCUCCCAAGGUGCUGAGAUUACAGGUGUGAGUCACUGCACCCAGUCAAGAUAAUGUUUUUAACCUGCAAAUGAAAAAUGAGUUGGCAUCCUCAUCUGCUAUAUCUGUUCUCCAAACCCUGUCAGCCAUGGGAAAAAUCGACUGAGACGAUGUUCUUCUUUUUGAGAAAGAUAAAUGGACCUCAGAAAGGGACAUUAUAGUGAUAGGAGGAGUAGAUUGGAUUUUAAAUCAGACCCAAGAUGGAGAAAAGUAACACUCAGAAUUAGAGCAGGAAUUUCGGUGUUAAACAGCAAACCUGCAUUGCCCUUCCCUGGGAGUGGAUUAACAACAGCUGUAGUGACAUGGCCUCCUACAAACAUGUGAAGGUGGUUUCAUUGCUUCCAUUCCCUUCUUGGAAGUGUCCAUCUGACUAUCUUCUGUGCUUCUGGACUGAGCAGGCAAGGAAGAAAUAUCCUAGAUGGUUGCAGUGAUUUAUUUAUGCCUUAAUAUGCCAUAUAAUAUAGCCACUUUGUUUCAAGAUUAAGAUCAAACAUCCAAGGAAGGGACUGGCUGAAGAUUUAAACGGUCUUCAAAUUACCACAUCUGCUACAUCUGUCCCUAUAAACCAGAUGGUUUUUUGAUAGGAUGACUCUCAUUGUGUGAGAGAUGGAUGAGGUUUCCUUCUCUGGUUUUUCUCUUGGAUUGCAGUUGCCACUGACAGAUAAUCUUAGAGCAGAAAUGUCUGCUCUGAUGGGCUAAAUCUUCAAGAUAUUUCAUUAUUUGUUUUUCUUAUUACAGUGUUUUGAGGUCAAACAUUCUAAAAUAUAGAGAUUUUUACAUACAAUUAAUUUUCUGGCUUUUCAUUUAAAAACACAAAACACAGCUGGGCACGGUGGCUCACGCCUGUAAUCCCAGCACUUUGGGAGGCUGAGGUGGGCGGAUCACCUGAGGUCAGGAGUUCGAGACUAGCCUGGCUAACAUGGUGAAAUCCCAUUUCUACUAAAAAUACAAAAAAUUAGCGGGGCGUGGUGGCAGGUGCCUGUGAUCCCAGCUACUCGGGAGGCUGAGGCAGGAGAAUUGCUUGAACCCAGGAGGCGGAGGUUGCAGUGAGCCAAGAUCGCGCCAUUGCACUCAUUGCACUCCAGCUUGGGAGCAAAACUCCAUCUCAAAAAAAACAAACAAAAACAAAAAACCCACAACAAUGACAGAAAAAACAAGUGAUCUUGGAACCCUGAGUCCAGACAAUCAGCAAGAACUUAAUAGAUUCUUACCCCAUUAAUGGGGCAGGAGAUUCCCCAGUUUGCCACAGUCCUCAUCAUUCCCUGAUAUUUUACACCUAGUUCAUUUUUCUCAUUUGAGUUUCUCAUCAAUGAAUUCAAGAAUCAGAGUCAUAGUUUUUUUGCCAGACCUUAAAGAUACUUCUUAGCAUAUAGUUUAAUGCUUUGAGUUAGUACAAACUCCAGGAAGUGGAUCAGACUUGGGGAAUGAGGGAAGAUAUGCAUAACUUUUGCUUAAUUGUGAUGUAUAAUCUGUAGCAGGAUUUUUGCAUAAUUUUGUUAUGAUAGUUGAUACUAAAAACAGAAGUCUCAAAAGAGUUUUGUAUAUUAUAUUGAAGGAAUCCUCAUUCUAUUCAACUUCACAUUCUUGUUUUCUAGGUAAGUGCCGCGCUGUGAUUAGCAGUCUUUCUUCUUUACUGUUGUAAUGCUGAUAUCCUCUAGAGGGUAGCAGAGAGCAGCUUGAUGUUAGAGAGUCUGGGGAAGGAUGCUGGUGGUUUGAAAUGAUUCAGAAACCGUUUCUUUCCCUUUCUCGCACAGCUAAUCCUGGGAGCUCUUGGAAAGUGUGGCAGGAAGGAUGAGGUUGUACUCUUCACUAGUUACUGCUUAUCAGUAUCCCCAAGGAUCAGUCUAAUGAGAAGUGGGUUUGUGUACAAAGUCUUUGCAAGUUUUCAUGUCUUGUAAAUGAGAGUAGCCAAAUCUGGCUUGUCUGUGUGUUUUACCUAAGUGCAGAGCACCUGGACUGCAAUCCUAGCACACAGACAUUGAAAAGAGGCAGGAACUUUUCUUCUCUAGAUUCUGUUAUCUCUCUGAGGUUGGUGCCCUCUUCUUUAUGCAGAGACUGAAUUCGUUUUAUUUCUGAACAGUUCAGCAGGGGCUAAUUUGCUAAAUUGAUACGUGAAUGUUUUCUACCAAGAAGCUAUAUAAUUUAAAGGGGAAAAAUAUUCAUAAUACUUAAAAUAGAAUUGUUUAAUUGCGACAUUUCAGUAUCCCAGUAUUAUAUCAGAACCACAAGUAAUCAACUCUGACAAUAUUGUACACAACAGUUUCUAAAAUUUAGACCCUCAUUCUUUCCUGUGCUUGUAAACUUAGCAAGAAUGGAGAUUACACCUUAUAUUCCAAUUCUGGCUACUAUCCACAUUUAACAUUCUUCUUAGUAUCAGUCUUCGAAUCCUGGGGAUAAAUAAGCACAGCUUGCUUUUAGGCUGAAUUUUCAGAGCGCCAUUUAUUAUUUAAAGCACUAAAAAUGCCUGAUUUAUGCAUGAUAAUGUAAAUUUCUUUCUUUCUUUUUUUUUUUUUUUUUAAAUUUUUUGAGACAGAGUCUCACUCUGUCACCCAGGCUGGAGUGCAGUGGUACAAUCACAGCUCACUGCAGCCUCGACUUCCCAGGCUCAAGUGAAUCUCCCACCUCAGCCGCCCCAGUAGCUGGGACUACAGGCAUGCACCACCAUGCUCAGCUAAUUUUUUUUUUUUUUUUUAAGAGAUAGGGCUUCACUGUGUUGCCCAGGCUGGUCUUGAACUUCUGGACUCAAGUAAUCCACCCACCUCAGCCUCCCAAAGUGCUGGAAUUAUAGGUGUGAGCCAUCAUGCCUGGUCAUAGAUUUCCUUAAAUGCUGUUAGAAUUCUAUUUAACCCGACUGGAGCCAAGUUUUAAGGUGGACUGUGUGAUGGUGUUUUUAGCCAUAGCACGAAAAUUCCUUUUAUGUAUGUCUGACAUGGCAAACAAACAUUCCCAUAUUUGCUCCAAAGCUAUUACAUUCUGAAGACAGGGUUUCUCUCUUGAGAGUAUUUGUAAGUUCAGCCUUUUACUUAUAUACCAGUCAUUAAAUCAUGGGGUAUGGGUUAUAUGUUUUAAAUGGACAUUUUGAUCACCCUUCAGGGAAACUGGAAGAAAUGCCCUGUUGCACGGUGGUUACCUUUUGAGUUAUCCAGUAACUAAAUUUGGGGGCUAGAAGAUGCCUCUAGAGGUAACUUGAUUCAUUGUGAUUCUUUUCAUUGAAUUUGGCAAAACUACAAUGGAGGUAACCAUUUCACUUAUUAAAAAGAAAAAAAAAAACAAAAACCCCGGGGGGGUGGGGAGAGUUAGACAAUAACAGAUUCUGUUCUACAGCUCUGACAACACUUCAGCCUCUCACAAUAUUUUGCUGUAGAGAAAACAAAAAUGAACUAUUACUUUUUUCUUUUAGUGACCAUUUAUUCAUUUGUUUAUCCGUAGAUCUUUCCAUUCUAGGAAACAUUUGUGGGUUACAGUGCUGUCCUUAUCUCCUCAGUAGCAUCUCUCCCUGUUCCCGCUAACUGACCCCUGAUUUUGUGUCUAGUCAGCACAAUUACUUGAUCUCAGGCAAAGCAGGCCUGUCCCAGGUCAUACGUCGUGAAUCACAGUUGGUCUAAGCCAGUCUCGUCAGUCCAUUCUGCCACACCAGUGACUGGUCUAGAGUUGUAUAUGCGACCCAGCUCUGGCCAAUGAGACGUGAGGGGAAGUAGAAGAGAUUCCCUUCCUUAGUAAAGAUGAUGGAUACUCAUGAAGAUAGUCAUUUCGCCCCUGUCUCCUGCUUCCUGCUUUAAAUGAGGAUAUGUUGCUUGGAAAGGUAGUAGCAUCUUGUGAAAAUGAGGUGACAGGCUUGGGGAAGAAAAUUCACAUGCUGAGAAUGGUGGAAGCCAUUUUUUUUUAUAGCAUUGUUGAAGAGCUGAAGCAACCCCAGGGAUCACUUCCAGAUUUUGUGAGAUAAAUAAGCCACUAACUGUUUAAGCUACUCUUAAUGCAAAGAUUCUCUUAUUUGCAGCCAAAAGCAUUCCUAACUGAUAAACCACCUAAAAGGCAAAUGAUGUAAUGGAGAUAUUCACCAAUUCCACAGCAGUAUAUUUUGUCUCAAUCUGCUCUUCAUAAAUAUUUUCUUUUGGCCUGGAAAGAAAGACAGAUGCUGAGAAAUGUAAUUAGACUCUUGGUAUGUGUGGCCAAAUUUUAAUUUCUAAUUGAACAUGAGGCCCCAAAAUGUUUAGUCACAGAAAGAAAGUAAUACAGCAUCUCUUAUUCAAUCAAGUCAUUCUGAACUACUUAUAUAACCAAAGGUCAGUGGUAGCAGGAUUGUAUUACAUGGUGAUUUUAAUGUUCUGCCUUUUGUUGCUAACGGCUUGUUUUAAAAUCUAGUUCAGUUUCCUGCUUAGAUUGCAGUGCUGUAUUUGCAGUAGACAAAUUCAGAGAUUCUCUUGGGAGACUCUGGUUAUGGCUGGAUUCCCAGAACAGCUGAAAAGGUCAGGAAGUAGAGUUCACUUUUCAUUAGCGAUGGGGAGCUUCAAAGAUGGGUUCCAGGGUCAGCAAACACACAUUUGCUCAAGGAAUUUGGCCUUGCUGGGUAGUGGUUGUAAUGUUUAGUAAAGCAGGAUUGGCAGUGGCUCUUCCCUGAGUUAGAUUCAGUGUUGUUUCUAAACCUUUGGCUGGAAGUUAGUCCACUUAGACAUUCAGAUAAAACCAAAUCUUAAAUGACUGUAUAAAAUAUAUAUGUUUUAUGUUUUAUAUUGUCUACUGUGCAUAGUAUUAUACCCAAAAUGCUCAUACAUAGUGAUUUCAUGUGAUUUUAGCCAACCUCAAACUUUGAUCCUAACUGUAUUGUUAGCUGAAGUCAUUGAGAACUUUCAGCCAGGAAAUAUUUUUAAAUGAAUAUAGUUUGUUUACCAAUGUAGGUGCAGGCAACCUCAACGUAUGCUUACAUAAUGUAAUAGAGAUUUUGGAGUGACCUGCUGUCAGGAAUAGAUAAGCAGUUUAUAAUUAGUGUGUUGGUCCUAUAUGAAUAUACUUGUAGAUGGCUUGUUUUCUUCAGAGUGAAUAUCAUCCCCCCCCCCCCCCCCGUUCCAUUUUUUGUUAACUGCUAAUUUGUAGGACAGAUUUGUUUUUAUUGGAUAAUGCAGAACACAGAUUCAGACCAUGCCAGGUCCAAAUUUUUGCAAAACUUGAUUUAAUCAGAUCAAAAUUAGUCAGGUUUUACUGCAUGUCAUUCCUAUUUAAUCUCAAGAGUUAUUAAACACAGUAAAUGAUCAUUUUGUGAGGAGAUGUCAUAUGAGUAUUGAUUAGGAAUCACAGUAAAGCCUUACUAUUUUAAAAAACAAUUGGCUUCAUUACACACUCAAGUUCUACUAGAGGAAUAGUGCUUAUGCAGUUAAAAAAGUUUUAUCCCCAAGUUCCUUUAAGAUUUUUUAAAAAAAGUGUUAAGAAUAGUGGUGUCCUAGACAAAAUAAUUUUUUAAAAAAUACGGUUUUUUCUUUGCAUCAUUUCUUUGGGACAGUUGUUUCUCUUCUGACAAUACUGUUUGAAGGGUAAAAGUUCAGCUGUGCCACAGAACACCUGCUCUUUGCUUAGCUGAAUGACUAUCUAGUUUGACUUAUUUCUCCAGGAUUUGGAAUUUUAGGCCCUGGGGUUUGAGGAAGUAACUUACCAUGUUUAGGGGUGAAUUACUUCUCUUCAUCUUUUCAGCUUUUCUUCUUGCUGUUUCCCACACAGCAGCAGCUGUUUUUAACAACAGAAAUCAUGUCAUAGCACUUUCCUGCUGAAAACUGCUGAGCAGCUUCCUGCAGACAAAGAUCCAAAUUCCAUACCAUGGGCUCUAUGAUCCCACGUGGUCUGUCUCUCUUUGCAUCUCCAGCUCAUCUUAGGCCACCUUCUGCGCCUCACAGGGUGCUCCAGCUCCAAUCAUCCUGUUCUGAGUUUUCCCCAAGCUCAUUUCCAUCUCAAAGCAUUUGCUCCUGUCAUUUGCCUCAUAUGGGAAUCUCCUUCCCUAGAUCUUUCUUGACUGAUGCCUUCUCAUGGUCCCAGACACAGUUCCUAUGCCACCUCCUUAGAAUAGCCUUCCAGACUUCCAGACCCUUCCUGAGUGUGGAAAAUGCUAUUCUGACAAUACAUUAUGUUAGCUUACAUUGAAGUUGCCUGCACCUGUAUUAGGAAACAGACUAUAUCCCUUUACAAAUGUUUCCUGGUCUAUUUUGGGUGGGGGUACUAAUUGACUUUCUUCUCAAAUAGUACUCCCACCCAAAUUUCCACCUAUAGUCACUCUCCCUGACAUCACCCGGAUUGAUAUAUCAUCCUUAAAAGUAUAACAUAAUUUUCACUUCUGAAUAAUAUAUAUCUGCUUUCCUAUCAUCUGUCUGCCUCUGUGAAAAUAGAAGCUCCGUCUUGCCUACCUUGUUGAUCCAUCUUGUCUGUCUCUCUGAGGGAGACUGGGUGUCCCAGUGCCUAGAGCAUAUAGGAGACACUCAUAGUUACUCAUUGAUUGAAACAAAAGAAAGGGAAACAAGCAAUGUGUGAAUGCAUCUGGAAUAUUUUAGAAGUAAAAUAACAGAAUUAAUUUAGGCCAUUCACAUAUAUUACUCACAUCUCCCAGGUUACAUUCAGUUUAUCAUAAAAUAUCUUCCUCAUUGGAAGCUUCAUUUGGAGUAACUCCCAUAGAGCCAGGGGCAAUGGCACACACCUGUAGUCCCAACUACUCAGGAGGCUGAGGCUGGAGGAUUGCUCGAACACAGAAGUUCAAGGCCAGCCUGAGCAAUAUAGCAAGACCCCACCUCAAAAACAAAUAAAUAAAUGGAAUAACUCCCUGUUUCUUUAUAUAUAUAAUAAUUCGAUUGUAACUCAAAUGUUUAUUGAAGUCCUUUUAUCAGGUAACACAAAUGUGUAAAGCAGUGGUUUUCAAACUGUGUUCUGUGAAUUCCUAACUCUGGUAAAAUUCCAUUUAAAUAAGUGUGCUGUCAGAUAAGUUGUUGAAUUACAACAGUAUCAUAUUCUUUUAACAUGUUCUAUCAGCAUGUUAAAGAAUUUUUGUAAAUCCUACAGUGAAGAAAUUUCUAUUACUUUGUCUCACUACUUCCUACACAUAUUUGGCCACAGAAUUUUCUCCAUCCCAUAUAUUUUGUUUUCUUCCAAAUUCCUGUUAACAUUGUGUGGAAUUACAGGUUGAAUAUUCCUCAUCUGGAAUGCUUGGGACCAGAAGUGUUUUAGAUUUUGGAUUUUUUUUUUUUUUUUUUUGGAUUUUGGAGCAUAUUGGAUUUCAGAUUUUUGGAUUAGGGAUACUCAACCUGUUUAUCCAUCUCCCUUUAUCUGUUCCAUUCUGCCUCUCGUCUUUUGCAUGCCAUGGCUAUAACGGAUAAUGGUGAUACUUGCCUGGGGAUUUGAAGCCCUAUCAAGAUGCUCGUAGGAUAAGAGACCAUUCUGAGGUCCCUAGGUGCCUGAAACCCUACCCAGGCCCCCAAGAGCUGAGGGCGUCAGUGUUUCUAGGAACCCUGGUGAAGUUGUGCUUUAUAGCACACUUGUGGAUGGUGUCCUAGAGAAAUUACAGCUUUCUUUUGGAUCAGUAUGUAUAAAAGACAAUAAUUCUCUCUAGCCAUUUUUGAGAUAUCACCAAUGAACUGAGGGUGGCAUUAUUUAGAGAUUUCUGGGCUUCGUGAAUGCUGCAGAAACUUGAUACCUCAACAUAACCACAAAAAUAGGGCAAUAUAUGCCUGCCUUGCUGUGUGAUUUUCAAAGGUUUGGUAGAGUUUCUGAAUCUACUUCUCAUUUGUAGGAAAAUGUACAUUGCAAUAGUUAUUCACUGUCAGAGACUCAAUAUCUUUACCAGAUUGAAUGGUUAGCAUCCUGUAUGCUGAAUAUUCUAUUCUCCUAGACUUCCAUUUUGUCAUAAUUUAAUUCAAAAUCAAAGUUUCUCAUUGUGAAAUAUUAAGCCAAGGUGUUUUAUAUAAAAAAGCAUUGAAUUAUCUUAUUCUCCAGGUGGCAUAGCUUAAAUAAGAUGGAAAUGUAAAUCUAAUCAAUGACAAGACUGUGUCUAUUUUAUACUGUAUAGCUUCUUUAAAAAAGACUGAUUCAUAUGCAGCAGUAAUUCAUUUAAUCUCAACAAGUCUUUGCAUAAUUUCAUAUUUCUUUACUAUACUCUGCCAAGAAUAUGUUCAUAUAUAUUACUUUAACCCUGCUAAACUGGCUUCAGAAAAUACUUGAGAGGCAACUAGACUGUUAACCCUUUAAAUAAUAGUUUCUCUUUUCCCUUUCUUUCCUUUAUUUUUAUGACGAAUUAACUUACCUGGAAUCAAGUUUUUUUCAGAAUUUGAGUUCCAACCUUUUUCCUGUUAUGCAUAGACUUUUCUAACGUUGGAGCAACCAGCUUGGAGAGUCUUGAAAUUCUAACUUCUAGAUCUUUUGUCUUUGAUCAUCGGCUAAGACUGUGCUGCUCCCAUUUUAAGUAGGCUGGAAUGGAAUGUGCUGCUACUUAUUCCAGGAUCUGGCAGAGUGAAGAAGGAGAUGUACUAAUUCCUGUCUUUCAGCAUUGUUAGCUUGGUGACACUCAAGUCCCUUGCAUUUCUUCUUUUCCAUGCUAUGCCAGAGAAUGUCAAAAGGUGAGUCCACAUGCCUACUUGCCAGCCUUAGUUUCUCAGUGACCAAGUUGUCGAGCCCCAGCCACCAGGGUUUGGCAGAGUUGAGACAAUGGAAGACUGUCUGAUAAUUGUACCUCUGUCCUCCUGCUGUCUUGUUAGACAUGUAACAAGAUCUGUGAUACCCUGUGGGGGGUGGUAUAAUAAGAACUCAAGGAUGUUUUAUUCAUCUUUGUAGCUAUAGUGUGUGCUCAAAUGGUAAUAGCUGAUGUUUGAGAUAGGUCCCAUUACUCUCCCUGUUUUUCAGAUGGAGACACUGGGGUACACAGAAGUCAAGUGGUCCCUUCAAGGCUAUAAGGAGAUAGAGCCUGGUUUCACAUCCUGACAUUAUUGUUCCAGAGUCCAUGCACUUAACCAUUGUACUGUCCUACUUCAAUUGAAUGACUUAAUUAUAACUGAAAGGGAUAAAGAAUCAAACUGUGUUGCAAAGGAAUCUCAUUUGGAGUUGUUUCCUUCUAAGCAUAUUGAAAUAUUGAGUUUUUUUGACUCAAAUCCUGGGUGUUGUGAUUUAAAAAUGAAAUAGAGAGAUUUCAGCUGGGAUUUUAAUUUAUGCUGUGUUUUUCAUGGUGAUUGAUAUGGUUAGGCUUUGUAUCCCCACCCAGAUUUCGUCUUGAAUUGUAGUGCCCAUAACCCCCGAGUGUUGUGGGAGGGACCCAGUGGGAGGUAAUUGAAUCAUGGGGGCAAUUUUGGCCAUGUGGUUCUCAUGAUAGUGAGUGAGUUCUCAUGAGAUAUGAUGGUUUUAUGAGGUGCUCUUCCCCUCUUUGCUCUGCACUUCUCUCUUCUGCCACCAUGUGAAGAAGGACAUGUUUGCUUCCCCUUCCGCCAUAAUUGUAAGUUUCCUGAGGCCUCCCAAGUCUUGCUUAACUGUGAGCCAAUUAAACCUCUUUCCUUUGUAAAUUACCCAGUCUCAGGUAUGCCCUUAGAGCAGCAUGAGAACAGACUAAUACAGUGAUCAUUUAUAUAUUUAACAAAUGUUGAGCACCUAGUAUGUGUCGGGCAUUAUCCUAGAUAACAGUGGCUCACCAAUGAACAAAACGGGAAAAGCCCUCUUUUCAGAUAGCAUCCAUUCUAAUGGGCAGUAUAGAUUUAUCUGAUCCAGGUAUCCAGUAAAAUUUCCUACCCAAAGACUUUGUAGUUAUGACUAUACUCAGGUGAAGUUAUGGCUAUGCUCAGGUGAUUGAGAAUAAUGGUAGUCCCAUGCUGAAAGGGCUGUCUUCUAGACUGCUGAAGGAUAACUUGAGCAAGCCAUUCUGACAAAAACCUGAGAGAUGAAACAGAAUCAGACAUCUUUAGUGUGGUGGUGAUUUUUGUUGCUGUGGUAACCAUUUCUGUUAGCAUCCCUCUCCAUGACUACAUUAUAAUUUUCACAGGACAGUGUGAGUUUAUAUACAAACAAACACAUGUGCUUUUAUAAAGCCUUGUUGAGGUGGAAGAAAGCUCGAGGACAUGUGUUGCCUUUUUUAAGACACACAGUGUUUGGGCUAAUUAAACCUGUCUGUUCAGGCAUAUCAUUGUCAAUGCUUUGCUCAGAGUAUUAAGUUGCUUUCUUUGAAGUGAUGAUGUAUGUGUCUGCAAUUGAUGGGAUUUUUGAAAUGUGUGUGUUCACAGGUACACCUAGUAGAUUUUUACUUUUUCCAAUCCCCAAACAUGCUAAUUUCCACACAAAGUUCUCUUGCACUCAUGCUGAAUCUCACUAAAGAUUAAAUACUUGAGGCUCUAAUGAGACCCUCCUAUAUAAUUAAGAUGAUCACUCUCACUUUAGCAUAAGUUCUCCACCAAAACUGUGAUUAUGAUGUGCAUUUUUACAUGUCAAAAGUACUAAUUUUGCCAUUUGUUGUUGUUAACUUUCUGAAGUUAAUGAGAAUGUACUGUUUAAGAGGAGCAUAUGUGUAGAGGAAACACAGAUCCCAGUUUAUUAUCUGUGUCGACUGAUGUUGCUAGAUAUGUUACACAUAUAACAUCUAUAGAACUCAGUCCCCUUUGUGACAAACACCAUGAGCAGGGAAAGGACUUGGAAAGGAAUAAUUUUGAGGAGUAUAAAUGAGUCCUGAAACUUUGAAAACUGCUGCUUGAGGAGAUUCUACAGCCAGAGGUGCCAAGAGAUGGCUCUUGCUAUUAUUUCUGCCCCUAGAGAUUGUCAGCUUUCUUUUGGAGCUACUUUGGGGUGGGGAAACUCUUAACACCUUCCAGAUACUGGAUGUUCUGCAUGAAAAGUCCAGGAUUGAAGCAUCUUGGUGAUGUAGCUCUUUUCUUCAAUAAGCUUAUGGACACAAGAUGCUCUUGUAGACACAAGAUGCUUAUAAACACACACACUUCCUCCGAGGUGUACCCACAGUGCCACAAGGGGUUUCACUCCUAGCUGCACUCUGACCUGAACUGUGUCUCUUCUUAGUUCAUCUAGGUUUUGUUGAGCACUGGCCACUAGUUCAGACUCUAAGGCAGGUUCUCCAUUGCGCCUUCCUGACAUCUUUUUCUGACCUGUAUGAUGACAGUCCGGGCAACCUAAGUCCAUGAGGGAUGUCCUAAUAUCAUUGCUCCUUCUCAGUGAUCUUUGAGCUCCAAAUUCUCAUUUGUGACUUUUUUUUUUUUUUACUACAACAGAUAUCUACAUCUUGUAUCUAUAAAAAUCAAAGGUAGUAUUCAAGUUCCCUCCAGCCCCUCCACCCCUCCCCUACCCCCACAAGUAUUCACCGUUAGAAACAGAAGUGGCUGGAAACUCACAUGGUGUUUCUUUUGUUCCUUUACAGAAAUGUGGGCCUAUGGAGGGCUAAAUUUGCUCAUGUGAAACUUCUGCUAACGUUGUUCAUAAUUUCUUGAGGCUUUCAUGUCACACUAAUAUUUUAUGAUUUAGAUAAAAUUUAGUCUUUGUUAUCACAGAGUUUAACAACCAUGUAGAAAGAAGAUGAGUCCAAAGUAAUUUUUUUGUUUUUGAGACAGGGUCUCGCUCUAUGGCCCAGGCUGGAGCGCAGCGGUGUGAUCAUGGCUCGCUGCAGCCUCCAGCUCUUGGGCUCAAGCAAUCCUCCCAUCUCAGCCUCCUAAGUAGCUGGGACUACAGGUACAUGCCACUGUGUCUAGCUAAUUUUUUUUUUUUGGCAGAGACAAGGUUUUGCCAUGUUGCCAAGGCUGAUCUCGGACUCCUGGGCUUAAGUGAUCUGUCCAUCCCUGCUUCCGCCUCUCAGAGUACUGGGAUUAUAGGUGCGAGCCACUGUGCCUGGUCCCCAAAGUAAUUUUUUUAUUGUCCGGCUUCUCAUCUGUUUCCCAGAGUUUUCCCAUUCACUAGGUCAUUUAAUUCUUAAACAAAUCUAGGUAAGGUGGAUAGUGACAAAUCAACUGUGGUGAGUACUUGUAUCACGACAUACUAAGUUUAGUUUCCUGAUAUUCAAAGUAGAAAUAUUCCACCUACCUCUCAAGACUGCUGCACGAAUUGGUUGACUCAGUUCUUAAGCCAUGGAACUUGCUCUACUGUGAGAGCACUGUGGAAAGAGCAACUGACCCUGAGUAGUAGGAUUGGAGGAGGGAAGGAGGUCAGCAACAGGGAACUCAUAGUGGAAAGCAAGACUUGUAAGGGCAGAGUGAGAAUGUGGGAGGACAUUCCAGGAAGAAGAAACUGGAUAGUCGAGAGCCCAGAGUUGAGACACACUGGGAAAGUAGGGAAUUACAGAUUCCUUAGUCGACCUCCAGAAUUAGAAAUCAAGUCUAUGUAAGCUUACUUGAAAAAAAAAACAAAAAACAAAACAAAACAUACAAACAGAAACAGCCAUUUUAAGGAAACCAACUGAGGCAGUGUGCAAUGAUUUAAUUCCAUAAGUGUUCAUUGUCACAUUCUUUGGAGUAGCAUAAAUAAGAGGAGUAGUAUUUUCGAGUACAUUAAUAUGUUUUUCUCUUUUACAUUUCUGUGUAAAUGACCUUCUUUCCCAACACCCAGAGGCAUCCAUUUGCCUCAAGGGAUUAUGAUUCUUAAAGCAGGAAGGCAGGAAGGAGUCAGUGCUUAAGUUUUGUCUACCAAAAUAAGAUUUUCUAAAUCCCUUAAGCCUACAUUAGCAUAUCAAGAACAAGGCCCAGUGGUGAACUUGAAUGUCAAGUUUAAUGUAACUAGGGUGACCACACUUACUAGCUUGCUUAGGACAGCUCUAAUUCAUGCACCUUAUCCUGACCUAAUUAUCAGUAGCACCCCUUUUACUCUCAAAUGCAUCCUGGUUUGGAUGAUGAAUUAUAAGUAAGGGAAGUCCCUGCCUCAGAAGAGGUAGAGUGACAUGGAGCCCAGCCCUUCGGGCCUAGUGGAGUGUGGGGAUCAAGGAAGAUGGAAAGGGAGGGAAGUAACAAAAUAUGUAUGUGUGUGUGUUAUGUUAUACCCUGGAGUCAGAAUUCCAGUGUAUGCUGGGAGUGGUGGCAAACAUAUUAGUUAAAAGCAAUAGGGCGUUGGUCUCACUACCUCUGGAACUCUAGGAAGGCUACACUGCAGGGCCAUCCCAUACCAAGACAGGUUAACAGCAGCUCGGUAAGUUUAGGAGAAUGGCCAGGGAUUUCAGGUGGGAUUUCACACCUGAAAUCCCAACCCUUUGGGAGACUGAGGUGGGCAGAUUGCUUGAGCCUAGGAGUUUGAGACUAGCCUGGGCAACAUGGUGAAACCCCGUCUCUACAAAAAAUUAGCCAGGCGUGGUGUUGUGCACCUGUAGUCCUAGCUACUGGAGAGGCUGAGGUGGGAGGUUCUCUUGAACCUGGGAGGUGGAGGUUGCAGUGAGCUGAGAUUGUACCACUACACUCCAGCCUGGGCAACAGAGGGAGACCCGGUCUCUAAAACAAAACAAAAAAAUAAAACAAACAAAAAAAGAAUAAGAGCAUAUCAGGCUCAGGCAGAGCGAAGGCCUGAGAGAUCUAUCUAUCCUGAACUUCCUCAUCUCCCACUUGGUAUGAAAGGGAAGCUUUACGUGUUUCUUGGGGGAUGUAUAAGGUCCUGAGGAGAGAGCCUGUGAGCUUACCGUGGGUGAUGCUUUAGUGAUGGUGAGCUAACAUUCUAGAAGUACAGGCUAAGAUGGGCUAAGUCAAGGAUUGGUUAGGGGAUGGGACUGAGGCCCAGAGGUUCAUCAGAAUUUGAGGGGGUUAAAUUAGGAUGGAAUUGGUAAGAGAGAACGUAGCACUCAGUCCAAGCCUGGAGAACAGAGCCAAGUCUUCCAGGGUAGGCUUCAGUGUCAGAUGCCCAUGGGGCAUACACUGGGUAACCUGGCAGGUAAGGUACUUCACAGCAGAGAGAGCAGAGGACUCGGUGACCAGCACAGGACCCCUCUUCCUACUGCCACAAGAUUGUGUGAGCCUCCCAGAUACCUGGAUGUCAUUGUAGGGAGGAUUUGCAUUAACAUUAAAAAAAAGAGAUGGAUUUGUUCAUUUAAAAUAUAUUAAUCCAACACUUACCCUAUGCCUGGCACUACUGUAGAUACUGGGAAUACAGCAGGAAAUGAAACUGAAAAAAAUCCUUGCCUUCGUGGAACUUACAUUCCAGUGACUUCACCCAAAGACUCCAUUUAAAACACAAGAAAUUGAGAUACUGUCAACAAUAACUUAGCACUACUCCGCUACCUGUCAGGGUAAGAGCUCUUAAGGAAGGUUAAAUAAACUAUAGACAAUUAAGAAGUUGCAUUUGUUUUGUGCAUCUGAAUUGUAACAUUUUUAAGUUUGACACUGCUGUCAUAACUGUGCAAGAUAGGAAGUUGAGUAGAUGGGCCAGGUGCAGUGACUCAUGCCUGUAAUCCCAGCACUUUGGGAGAGCAAGGCAGAUGGAUCUCUUGAGCCCAGGAGUUUGAGACCAGCCUGGCCAACAUGGCAAAACUCCUUCUCUACAAAAAAAUACAAAAAUUAGCCUGGCAUGGUGGUGUGUGCCUGUGGUCCCAGGUACUUGGGAGGCUGAGGUGGGAGGAUCACUUGAUCCUGAGAGGUUGAGGCUGCAGUGAGCUGUGAUUAUGCCACUGUACUCCAGCCUGGGCUACAGAGUGAGACCCUGUUUCAAAAAAAAAAAAAAAGAGGUUGAGUAGAUAAGUUAUGGUACUUCUCUAAUAAAAUACUAUGCAUUAACAAUGAUGUUAUAGAUGAAUAUUUAUUUAUAUAUAACAGUGUUCACAAUGUAUGAUGUAAAUUGUAGAAAGCAAGUUAAAAAAAUCAUACAUAAUAUUUUUAAUUUAAAAUAUAUAUACAUUAAACAUUGUAUAAUAUCCACAUUCUACAAAAAUGUAUAUAUGGUAAGCCCAGAUAUAUAUAUAUGUAUAUACACACACACACACACACAUAUAUGUGUAUAUAUAUGUAUGUGUGUAUUGUAUGUAAUAUAUAUCCAUAUAAGCCCAAUUCAAAUAAAUCUAUAGCAGUGUCUUGGUUACAUUUAUGUAGUUAGACUGCUGUUU